Molecule: long non-coding RNA, 298 nt
Organism: Dreissena polymorpha
Lineage: Eukaryota; Metazoa; Mollusca; Bivalvia; Myida; Dreissenidae
Exons: 3
Source: RefSeq, a predicted model, not a curated record
GAGAUCAGCAUGUGCAGUCCUCACUAAGAAAACGUGGCUUUAUGCAUGUGCGUUACCUGUCGACCGAGAUCAGCAUGUGCAGUCCUGACGGGCUAAUCAAGCUUGAAUACAUCAAGGUUAACGACGUGUUUGAUGACAAGAGCUUGGAUACAUCAAGGUUAACGACGUGUUUGAUGACAAGAGCUUGGAUACAUCAAGGUUAACGACGUGUUUGAUGACAAGAGCUCGAAUACAUCAAGAAAACGGGAUGGAUGCAUUCAUCAACAUGCGUUUUUUUCUGAUACUAGUAAUACAUUGU